This 904-nucleotide ribosomal RNA is filed under the name uncultured archaeon. RNAcentral's name for it is "bacterial SSU rRNA". It matches the Rfam family "Archaeal small subunit ribosomal RNA", at positions 5 to 879 of the family's 1478-position model. The record is from RNAcentral.
CGGUUGAUCCUACCGGACCCUACCGCUAUCGGGGUAGGACUAAGACAUGCGAGUCGAGCGCCUCCCAAGUGCACUGUUGUAGAGACGCGGCGCACGUCUCAGUAACACGUGGCUAACCUACCCUUAGGACGGGUAUAACCCCGGGAAACUGGGGCUAAUACCCGAUAGGUGAGGAAGCCUGGAAUGGUUCCUCACCGAAAAGACGUCGAAACCAUGCUUUUCGACGUCGCCUAAGGAUGGGGCCGCGUCCGAUCAGGCUGUUGGUGAGGUAACGGCUCACCAAGCCUAUAACCGGUACGGGCCGUGAGAGCGGGAGCCCGGAGAUGGGCACUGAGACAAGGGCCCAGGCCCUACGGGGCGCAGCAGUCGCGAAAACUCCGCAAUGCGCGAAAGCGCAACGGGGCUACCCCGAGUGCCGUCCGCUGAGGAUGGCUUUUCCCCGGUGUAAUGAGCCGGAGGAAUAAGGAGAGGGCAAGUCUGGUGUCAGCCGCCGCGGUAAUACCAGCUCUCCGAGUGGUAGGGAUGAUUAUUGGGCCUAAAGCGUCCGUAGCCGGCCUAGCAAGUCUCCUGUUAAAUUCAGCGACCUAAUCGUUGAGCCGCAGGAGAUACUGCUAGGCUAGGAGGCGGGAGAGGCCGACGGUACUCUUGGGGUAGGGGUGAAAUCCUAUAAUCCCAGGAGGACCACCAGUGGCGAAGGCUGUCGGCUAGAACGCGCUCGACGGUGAGGGACGAAAGCUGGGGGAGCAAACCGGAUUAGAUACCCGGGUAGUCCCAGCUGUAAACGAUGCGGGCUAGGUGUUGGGGUGGCUACGAGCCACCCCAGUGCCGCAGGGAAGCCAUUAAGCCCGCCGCCUGGGGAGUACGGCCGCAAGGCUGAAACUUAAAGGAAUUGGCGGGGGAGCAC